RNAcentral lists this long non-coding RNA (1076 nucleotides) under Dasypus novemcinctus (nine-banded armadillo). Its description in RNAcentral is "lncRNA (ENSDNOG00000050481.1)". Lineage: Eukaryota; Metazoa; Chordata; Mammalia; Cingulata; Dasypodidae. The record is from RNAcentral.
CCAGGCUCCCGAUUUGCCCGGGAUGCGGCUAGGAGGCCCGCCCACUUCCCAUCACUUAGGGCCUCGCGAGCGCCCGCCCUCGGUUUUGAUUGGUGGGGCAGCGCGCAUUAUCCAGCCCCUUUCCGGGGCGGGGGCGGGGCCGCCUCCCUGUCCCCGCCCUGCGGCUUUCAGGACCGCGAGGCCGCGGCGGUGCUCCCGGGCCAGAUUCCCAUCAGGGAACCCUGGAGCUGGGCGGUUUGGCCACUGCCCCAGGACAUCACCGCAGUACUUGGCAAGAGGUCAUUGAAGGGAAGUUCAGGAAGCUCCUUUUCUGUGCCUGCCAAGUGGUAACCAACCCCCAAGAAGGCUUUCUUUGAACCAGUUAGGGCACUGAGCUCUGGGAAAGGAAGAGGUCAGGAAGGGUCACAGACUAGUCUCAGAAGUGAGUUCCUGUUCUUCUCUGCUUACUAGCUGCUUUAUUUAUAGCCCUUUGCCAGUUUGUUCUUUAUUCCAUUUUAAAGCAUUUCCACUUCCACCCUUCAUUUGCUCUUCCCACCAGCCCAGGGAGUCCCUCUCUUCAGCUUAGACUAGUGAGUGCAACAGCACCCCAGAGACAAGUGGUCUCAAACCCUUGCAAGUCCCAACCCUGACAACUUUCCUUCUAGUCACAAAUCUAGUCCAUUUUGUCUUCAGUUAUUCAAACUCUUUCUGAACAUCUGAUUCAGGUUCCUCUUCUGUAAAAAUAAGUGGGGUUAGUUUAGUUUAGGUUAAGAUUUAGCAAACUUUUCCUGUAAAGAACCGGAUGGGGGAAGCGGACAUGGCUCAACUGACAGAGUGCCCGUCUACCAUAUGGAGGGUCCAGGGCUCAAUACCCCGGGCCUCCUGACCUGUGGGGUGAACUGGCCCUCGCGCAGUGCUGCCGUGCACAAGGAGUGCCGUGCCACACAGGGGUGUCCCCUGCAUAGGGGAGCCCCACGUGCAAGGAGUGCACCCUGUAAGGAGAGCCGCCCUAUGUGAUAAAAGUGCAGCCCACCCAGGAGCGCCACUGUGCACAUGGAGAGCUGACGCAGCAAGAUGAUGCAACAAAGAGACACAGA